GCAGAACUUAGUGGAGAGAUUCUCAAGACAACGGCGAAAGAGCUCAAAGGAAGAUGGCUGAGGGAGGCACAGUGAACAUGCAAAUGCUACAUGAGUCAUUCAAGAAGUUUGUGGCCUGUGGAGACUCCAAAGCCACCGGCAAUGAAAUGACCGAAAAAAACUGGGCCAAGCUGUGCAAAGACUGCAAAAUCAUUGAUGGCAAAAACAUCACCUCAACAGACGUUGACAUAGCCUUUUUGAAAGUGAAAUGCAUUCCUGAAUGCCUUCGAGAAGAUGUUGGUGUUUUAUCUUCUUGAGUCGCUGUCUGGUGAAGAUGCUUCCAGGAAUUAGACCCAGCAUGGUCUUCCAUGAAGGUGCUGGAGGUGUGGAAAGCACCAUGCAGAUGGGUUUCCAAUCAGAUUUCCAAUUUGCCUUGCUUGGUGUUGACCUGCUGUGUUGUUGGAGUUUUACUUA
Molecule: long non-coding RNA, 453 nt
Organism: Mobula hypostoma (lesser devil ray)
Lineage: Eukaryota; Metazoa; Chordata; Chondrichthyes; Myliobatiformes; Myliobatidae
Exons: 3
Source: RefSeq, a predicted model, not a curated record